UACGAAGGGGGCGAGCGUUGUUCGGAUUUACUGGGCGUAAAGGGCGCGCAGGCGGUUCUGUUUGUCGAGUGUGAAAGCCCCGGGCUCAACCUGGGAACUGCGCUCGAAACGGCGGAACUAGAGUUCGGGAGAGGAGAGUGGAAUUCCCAGUGUAGAGGUGAAAUUCGUAGAGAUUGGGAAGAACACCGGUGGCGAAGGCGGCCAUCUGGACCGCAACUGACGCUGAGGCGCGAAAGCGUGGGGAGCAAACAGG
This 253-nucleotide ribosomal RNA is filed under the name uncultured bacterium. Its description in RNAcentral is "partial 16S ribosomal RNA". It matches the Rfam family "Bacterial small subunit ribosomal RNA", at positions 524 to 776 of the family's 1533-position model. The record is from RNAcentral.